CUACUCGGGUUUCUAAUCCUGUUUGCUACCCACGCUUUCGCACCUCAGUGUCAGUGUCAGGCCAGAAGGCCGCCUUCGCCACUGGUAUUCCUCCCGAUCUCUACGCAUUUCACCGCUACACCGGGAAUUCCACCUUCCUCUCCUGCACUCUAGCUUGGCCGUUCCAGAUGCCGUUCCCAGGUUGAGCCCGGGGCUUUCACACCUGGCGUGCCAAGCCACCUACGCGCGCUUUACGCCCAGUAAUUCCGAUUAACGCUCGCACCCUCCGUAUUACCGCGGCGGCUGGCAC
This 289-nucleotide ribosomal RNA is filed under the name uncultured Salinicola sp. RNAcentral's name for it is "partial 16S ribosomal RNA". The record is from RNAcentral. Lineage: Bacteria; Pseudomonadati; Pseudomonadota; Gammaproteobacteria; Oceanospirillales; Halomonadaceae.